GCCGGGCGCAGGGGCCCACGCCUGUCAUCCCAGUGGCUAGGGAGGCCGAGGCAGGAGGAUCACAAAUUGGAGGCCAGCCUCAGGCACUUAGCGAGGCCCUAAGCAGCUCAGCGAGACCCUGUCUCUA
RNAcentral lists this small RNA (127 nucleotides) under Marmota monax (woodchuck). Lineage: Eukaryota; Metazoa; Chordata; Mammalia; Rodentia; Sciuridae. The record is from RNAcentral.